Molecule: long non-coding RNA, 849 nt
Filed under: Cricetulus griseus (Chinese hamster)
Lineage: Eukaryota; Metazoa; Chordata; Mammalia; Rodentia; Cricetidae
Description: lncRNA (ENSCGRG00000026643.1)
Source: RNAcentral
AUAUUCUAAAUUAGUCUUCAUCGUAUUUAAACCAGCAAUAUUUUGAAAACGUUCCUCUUUCUCCCAACAUUGGCGCUUUAGUUCAGUAAGUUGCUCUUCUCCUUGAUUUAUCUGUUCCUUUGUUCUUUAUUUUGUUUCCAUAAUAUAUGAAAUGAAAUAUAUGAAUACUCUUCCUUAAUCUGUUCAAGCUGGGUUGCUUUCAUGAAGAAUUUGUAUUUGUCUCCCUCAUUUUUGGACUGUAGAAACUGCUUACCCAUCUCUUGUGUUAAAACAGAAACUGGUUUGUCCACCUGGAUGUUAAAAUGAUCAAGAAUUGCCAUCAGCUCUUCUUUCCUAGUAGAAAACACGGUGCCUUUUUCACUUUUUAGUUUGUAAGAUCGACUUCCAUUCACACUAAUGUGUUGUUGCACAACAAUAGAGUCGCCAUACACAUUUGCCCUGAAGGCAUUGUCUCCUCUGUUCCAUAACGUUAUUGAGAUGUCUGCUGAGUUCUGUCCAGCUUUCACAAAACCUUUUAAGGAGGAUCCUCUAUUAGUAGCAACUGCUUUUCCACCAAGGCCAACUAUGAGAGCAGUGAGUACAGCACUCUUUCCACUUCCAUUGUUGCCAACAACGAAGUUGACAUUAGAACCAGACUUAAAAGGUAAAAGAUUUGAGUGGCACAUGAAGUUUCUUAGCUGAAUACUCUCGAUGAUUCCAACUUCUGCUGCAGUCAAAGUAGAGGUACCGUUAGUGAAAUUGUACAUUCAUCUUCAUCUCCAUCUUUAUCAAAAUCUUCCAGUUCUUGUCUUAGCCUUUUAGCUUUUUCAGGAGAUCAGAAAUUUUCUUCCUUUCUUUUGUCCAUCAGAU